Molecule: long non-coding RNA, 957 nt
Filed under: Sorghum bicolor (sorghum)
Lineage: Eukaryota; Viridiplantae; Streptophyta; Magnoliopsida; Poales; Poaceae
Description: long non-coding RNA (SBIC_LNC014061)
Source: RNAcentral
UGUGGUGGAGUAAAUGAUAGUGAUGGUAAAAAAUGUAUAAGUGAUAAUAAAACUUACUUCUCAUUGCUCCUCAUAUUGCUAACUCCCCUCUUCUUCGAUCUUUGCUGUGGGAAAACAUGGGCUAUCUCCUCUUUUUUUUCAAGUGGUAGUAGACACCCCUAAUUCUACUGUCGGACACUUGUCCAUUUUUUCCGCUCAAGUGGGCAUCUUUGCACCCCUAAUUCUACUCCGGACACUUGUCCAUUUUUACCUCUCGUCUCACUCUUUUUCUUUCUUUCUUUUUCGAGGUUCCGGGCACUUGCCCCUUUUUAUUUCCUCGCAUAUUUUUUUGCAUAACCCGUGCCCCUUCUGCAUUGAUUCUUUUUAGAGAGUGAGAAUAACAACACUUGGGACAGUGAGUGAUAAUAUUAGUUUUAGCAAUUUUAAUGCAUGGUGGUGAAUGGUGUAGUGGAUGUGUGCAAGUGAAUAUCUUAAUUCAACCACAUGAAAAGCUCCUAAGGGUCUUCAUAGCUCGAUCAAACUCAAUGUGAAUAUAAGUAGCAAAAGAUGUUAUAGCAAGUAUGGCUGUGGUAGGAAUUUUGUCGUGCUAGGAACUCAUCAUGUGAUUCGCAAGUUUCCAAAAUAAAUCUCCAGAACUUAGUGUAGUAGGAAUAAGAUAAACAAUAGCUCAAACUUUAUAUCAUGCCUUUCUCUUACCUAGACUUUAGUUUUAUGCUUCCCAUAGAUAGUAAUUUAAGUUUUAGUAAUUCCUGGAAGAACUCUAAUAUAAAAGCUAGGUACUUGAAAGUACUCAAACAGAGCAACUGUUCUUCAUUUCCACCAUGUAUCUUUUUGGUCUUUUAUUUUUUUCAUUUUUAUUUUGUUUUCAUGCUUAUAAAAUGUUGUAAUUUAAAGCAAGGAAAUAUUUAUUGAGUUUUCUAAGUUUUUUCUCUUUAAGAUAAAAUACUAAAAUAGAAA